AAGUCGUAACAAGGUUUCCGUAGGUGAACCUGCGGAAGGAUCAUUACCAAUAUAGCGGACCGAGCGUUAGCGAGGCUUCGCGAUCAAUUUGUAUUUAAAACCCAACUCUUUAAUGUAUAUUAUUAUUGUAUUUUAAAUAAUAAAAAGAUCACUUUCAACAACGGAUCUCUUGGCUCUC
This 178-nucleotide unclassified non-coding RNA is filed under the name Glomus indicum. RNAcentral's name for it is "partial internal transcribed spacer region". The stretch from base 1 to 46 matches the Rfam family "Eukaryotic small subunit ribosomal RNA", at positions 1786 to 1831 of the family's 1831-position model. RNAcentral also lists the same sequence under 1 other name. Lineage: Eukaryota; Fungi; Glomeromycota; Glomeromycetes; Glomerales; Glomeraceae. The record is from RNAcentral.